RNAcentral lists this ribosomal RNA (253 nucleotides) under uncultured bacterium. RNAcentral's name for it is "partial 16S ribosomal RNA". It matches the Rfam family "Bacterial small subunit ribosomal RNA", at positions 524 to 776 of the family's 1533-position model. The record is from RNAcentral.
UACGUAGGGUGCAAGCGUUAAUCGGAAUUACUGGGCGUAAAGCGAGCGCAGGCGGUUAUGUAAGACAGAUGUGAAAUCCCAGGGCUUAACCUUGGAACUGCAUUUGUUACUGCAUGGCUAGAGUGCGUCAGAGGGGGGUGGAACUCCACGUGUAGCAGUGAAAUGCGUAGAGAUGUGGAAGAACACCGAUGGCGAAGGCAGCCCCCUGGGAUGACACUGACGCUCAUGCUCGAAAGCGUGGGGAGCAAACAGG